This 255-nucleotide ribosomal RNA is filed under the name uncultured bacterium. RNAcentral describes it as "partial 16S ribosomal RNA". It matches the Rfam family "Bacterial small subunit ribosomal RNA", at positions 96 to 353 of the family's 1533-position model. The record is from RNAcentral.
UGGCGGACGGGUGAGUAAUGUCUGGGAAACUGCCUGAUGGAGGGGGAUAACUACUGGAAACGGUAGCUAUACCGCAUAACGUCGCAAGACCAAAGAGGGGGACCUUCGGGCCUCUUGCCAUCGGAUGUGCCCAGAUGGGAUUAGCUAGUAGGUGGGGUAACGGCUCACCUAGGCGACGAUCCCUAGCUGGUCUGAGAGGAUGACCAGCCACACUGGAACUGAGACACGGUCCAGACUCCUACGGGAGGCAGCAUG